UGUGAAUUUGGGCAAACUCGGGGAGAUAGUGAAGGAUAGAGGAGCCUAGCGUGCUACAGUCCAUUGAGUCGCAAAGAAUCGCACACAACUUCGCGACUGAACAACAACAACGGAGGGCCUAUGAGGCGAGGGGCGAAGGCCGGAGGGAGGCGGGCCCUGGAGGAGGCGAAGAGGGGCUAAGACCCCAGCUUGGGUUUGUGUGAGAGUUCAGUGUCACAAGUGUAGGCGAUGCGAGGAGGAAGCCGUACCUGUAGGGGCAUGGCCGCAUCUAAGUGGACCGGAGCCUUGCCUAAAGGGCGGGGUCUGCGACCAGGGUUGUGGAAUGGAAGUCUUAAGUGUGAUUCCAAACCUCCUUAGAAUCUGAUCCCUCACUUGGGCAGUUCCGAUCUGCCCAGUCCCAUCUGGUCCCAGGUCCUGAGUUGCUCCUGGGUGGUGUACCCUAGGUGCCAAGGUUAAGAGAUUGAGGGCUCUUGCAGAGGGCAAGAGGCACUCCAGGAACAUCGUGGGAUCACACUGCCUGUCACACCCUCCCAGGACCCUGAGCCCCAAAACAACCCAGCCUUGGGACCCUAGCCUGCCCAGUCUUCAGAGAUGUGAUACCAGCCAAGCUUUCAGUCCACAGAGUUUCUGGCCCAAAAUAUGAACUCGUCAGUAUAUCAACCUGGAAACAUGGGGCACAGAGCUUCCUGUUGGAAAUGAGCACAUCUUGUCCUCCAUCUUUCAGCCCCGAAACUUGGGAUGCACAGCUUCUGGCCUGAAAUAUGAACUCUUCUCCAUUUAAUAUGAAAUAUGAACUCUUUUACCAUUUAAAAUUAAGGAUGAGGUUUUAAUUGACUUUUUAUUUGUCGAGCUAGAUGUUUACUCUAGGAGCUGAAGUUCAAUUAGAAGUUCAGUUGCCUUAGUGGCAAUUAGUGUCUCCCCAGAAGUGAAGCCUGAGAUUUUGGAACAGAGGCUAAGGGGAGAGGGACCAUCAGGUGGGAUUCCAGAGGAUGGAGCCUUCCUCAGACACAGCUGCUUAGGACACACCUGACUCAGUGUAAGCUCAGAGCUUAGAAAAAUCAGGUUGACACUUCAGAACGCUAGGUUUCUUUAAGGUCAGGAUUUUGGCUUUGGAAUUUAAAAUGUAGCAUUGUGAUGAUAUUUAUGUUAAAAACAUUUUCAGAUAAUACAGAAGAGUAUAAAGCAAAAGUUAAACAUCCUUCUCCCCUAACACCUAUCCCCUCAUUUAAAUG
Cervus elaphus (red deer) is the source of this 1232-nucleotide long non-coding RNA. RefSeq lists it as uncharacterized. The record is from RefSeq and is a predicted model, not a curated record. The transcript has 3 exons. NCBI's taxonomy places the organism in Eukaryota, Metazoa, Chordata, Mammalia, Artiodactyla, Cervidae.